This is a long non-coding RNA of Uranotaenia lowii, 476 nucleotides long. RefSeq lists it as uncharacterized. The transcript is spliced from 3 exons. Lineage: Eukaryota; Metazoa; Arthropoda; Insecta; Diptera; Culicidae. The record is from RefSeq and is a predicted model, not a curated record.
UUCAGUAAAUUUGUAGUUGACGACGUUUUGCUUCUCACUCGCACCACCAAGAGUCAGUCUAUGAUUUGCAUCCUACUUGCGCGCACAUAACAACUUUUGCGAAACUGCCCGGUGUGUCUUUGCGGAAGCCUAAAAAAUUGUUCGCUUCUCUCGGAUAGUGGUUGGUUUCCUCUGGGUCCAGAAGCGACAUGAAACCGGACGAUUCCGCAAUCUGUUUUCAAUAUAGUCCCGGCCGCAGCCAAGGAAAUCAAAAAGAAAGCUUUGGGGAUUUCCAGCUCAAGCAACUGUCCCGAAGUGGCCAAUCAGCGUGUCUUCCAGUUUAUCCAUCAUACUAUGGCCAAUUCAACAGGCAGCGAAAAACUUCUCAUUGAAUCAACGGAGACAGUUUGCCAAAACAAACAGUGAACCGGAAAUGAUGGAGGUGAUAUCCAAUCGGAAAAAAAUAUUACUAGGUUCAUAGAUUUAAUUUUAUAACU